Molecule: RNA transcript, 7310 nt
Organism: Biomphalaria glabrata
Lineage: Eukaryota; Metazoa; Mollusca; Gastropoda; Planorbidae
Exons: 9
Source: RefSeq, a predicted model, not a curated record
GCAGCAGCUCAGAACUGUGACUAUUAUUUUUUAUAGAACUAAAUAUUUUAUUUUUAAGUCGAAAAGCAUUUCGUUGCUAUACCUCUAUAGUCAGCGUAUGUGUUAAUACAUAUAUCUUAAAUAUAUAGUUAUAGAUAGAUAGAUAGAUAGAUAGAUAGAUAGUCUAGAAAAUGUUCAAUGAAGAUAGCAACAAUUGUUCUUUUUAAUUUUCUUGCAUGUGUGUAUGCACGUCUUAAAUAAAGCUUUCAGUAUAUAAAUUAGACUGAGCGCACUCAUCAACACAUUUUAUUUAUCCAGCUUUAGUAAGCAUACUUAUAUUAUGGAUGGAUUUCAGUUUCUAGAAGUUGUGCAAGUCAAACGAGUAGUAAAGGAAUAAAGGAAAGAUCACUCUGCUGAUAGUCCACGAGAAAACAUAAGAGUAAUGUUCACACGACGGAUGACUGGCUGCGCGCUUGACUGUCGUUUAAAUUUAUUAAGCCCUGCCCACUCCCAUCCCACUAUAUCCAGCGGGAGAUUUGGAAUAGGAACUAAUCUAAGACGACAACAAGAAUGAGUUCAUUCGAUGGAUCUCAUGAUUCGAAAUGUCAAGUAUUUCCAACCAGUGACCUACAAUUUAGUCCACUUAGCUGACACAAAAAGUAUUGAUCGCUCACGAUACCAUCACAAUGACGUUAUGUAUACACUUUAAGAAAACUUUCCCAAGCAGAUAAAAUCAAGUGUGGACUGAGACUAAAACUCAGAACGGAAGUGACAUCUUACAACACUUUGACCUUUGUCCUCAGACUUGUAGGAAGAACAAAGAUGUUGAGAUAAGACACAUACUAUAUAAACGUAGAGGUCAUCAAUCUAGUCUCAAUGCCAUGGUUGUUAACUCUUACAUACUACUAGAAACUUUGAGUAUACCCGCCCAAACUAUUGAAGUCUGACUUGCUAUCCUCGUCUGUUAGUUUACAUUGACUUUGAUACUUACGUUAAGCACAUCUGGGCUCUCUAUUACCUUAUAUGAUUAGGACUUACAUUAUGGAUGGAACUGAACUUCAGGAAAAUUUACAUACAUCAAUAUCUAGACUGUGUACGAUGUUGAAGGAAUUAAGUGAAAAAACUGUUGGACUGGAGGCGAAAAUUGGUAUUGUGAGGUCGUCGUCACCGUUGAGAUGCUGAUCAACAUGUGCACGUGAAUGGUAGUAAGAUAAUUUGACAUCAAGAUGUUGCUGUAAGAGAGACGAAUCUCUUAUUGGUCCCAGUGACGUCAUCAAGCAGAAAGAGAUCAGCAGUGACGAUCAAAACGCUGGAGAGGAGACAAAAGGUAAAUAUUUACAAUUGUUUGUGAACUGUCAAAGUAACGGAAAGAAAGAAAAAAGAAUGGAGAUCCAUUCAUUGAUUUCAAAACUUUGAGAUGGAUAUUUUAGCUCAAUGACAUAAGAUAUUAACAUUUUUCAAAAGAACAAAAAACAAGAUUACAAAGAGAGAUUGUGUUAUCACACAAACUCAGAGGCGGCCCCCGUCGGAGUCGGAUCCCUGUUGGAUCUGCCUAUUCGCAUAGAGGUAAUUUAAUUUUGAUGGUCAAAAGUAAUAAUGUUUCAAAGAUUCAUUUGCCGUUGUAAAAAUGUUGUUGUUUUUUUGUUUUCCAUGUUUCGGGUGUUCGUUCUAAGUUUAAAAUAAUUAACUUCUCGCUGCUCCUACCCCAGUCGUCCUACGGGAGGUUUGGACUAGGAAGUAAACUAUCUUCAACUCUGAAGGAACAUCCGAAACAUGUAAAACAAACAAACAACCCGGGACCGUAGAGAUAAUUAGUUCAGCACGCUAACAGCACGACCAGGCACUGCUCUUAACUUAAUAAUAAACUAAUAGCCUAUUAUUGAUAAAGAGAUAUAUUACACAUUACGACAUGACAUCUAUCGUAUAAUGUCAGAUGAGCGAUUUUGUAAUUGUGAUUUGAUUUGUAAUUAAAAAAACAAAAAAAGAAAAGAACAGAUAUAUAGUGCUUGUACUUCGAUGUCUCAGCAUAGUUAGCCCUAUCAACAGAGAUAUUGGCAUUUUUAUUUAAAUGGAACUAGAAUGAGGAUGUAGAUCUACCUAAAUUAAACUUCUGAUUUAGCACUCUUAAGAUCUAUAUCUACUAGAUCUAGAUCUAAAAUACGAACUCAAAUAAUGUAGCUGUAAUCUAUCAAUAGACUGAAUGCAACAUUAAAUUUAAAAAUAGUAGAUUUGUUUUAGCAUAUUAUAACAUUACAAUAUUGAUCAAAACGUUUGAAAAUCAAAAUCUACACUUUAAGUCUCGAAAUUGAAAUUCUACAUCUUAAUCUAGUCUAUUUUAGUCUAAACUAGAUCUAGAAAUUCUAGAUCUAGACUCUAAAAUAAUUUAAAUUAGAAUAUAAAUCCAGAUCUAGAUAUACUGUAAUAAAAAUCUAGAUCUAGUUUAAAAAAUCUAGAUUAGAUCCAAAUCAAGAUAUCAUUCCUUUUUUAAACGCGAGUCACAUAACGAGGCUUAAUAAACAUUACUAUACCGAGUUCUUUUAUCAUUUCAUUUGAAGAAUUAAUUCCAUAUGACGUCAAACGAAAAAAAAAAAAAAACGCUACGUCACUAAAAAACGCCUUCAUCAAUACGAGCCAUUUAUCGAGUGUUCAUAGACAUUGGUGCACCGAGUGCGUUCUUUUAGCAUUUCAUUUAAAGAAUUCAUUCCAUAUGACGUCAAAGGAAAAAAACACUACGUCACACGGCCUAGCUAGACUAAAAAACGCCUUCAUCAAUACGAGCCAUUUAUCGAGUGUUCAUAGACAUUGGUGCACCGAGUGCGUUCUUUUAGCAUUUCAUUAAAAGAAUUCAUUCCAUAUGACGUCAAAGGAAAAAAAAACACGUCACACGGCAUAGCUAGACUAAAAAUCGCCUUCAUUAAUACGAGCCAUUUAUCGAGUGUUCAUAGACAUUAGUGCACCGAGUGCGUUCUUUUAGCAUUUCAUUUAAAGAAUUCAUUCCAUGUGACGUCAAAUGAAAAAAAAAAACAACACUACGUCACACGGCUUAGUUAGACUAAAAAAUGCCUUUAUCAAUACGAGCAAUUUUUCGAGGGUUAAUAGACAUUGGUGCACCGAGUGCGUUCUUUUAGCAUUACAUUUAAAGAGUCCAUUCAUAUGACGUCAAAGAAAAAAAAAUUCCAUUACCUCACAAUAGGCUAGUACCGGUACCAUAAAAACUGUCUUUAUUUACACGAGAUAUUUAAUGAGGGUUCAUAGACAUUGGGGCACUGAGUUCUAAUAGAAUUUAUUUAAAGAAGGUCAAAACCGCAUUGUUUUUGCGUUUUGUCUGUCAGUCGGUCUGUCCGUCAUCUUAAUAAAAAAAACAACUAAAAGCUAUUAAAAAUUGAUUAACCUUUAUUUUACGUUUCAAAACAUCGCAAUAAUUUUAGGUAUGAACACAAUUGAUUUAAGUUUAUAUAAUAUAUUGUUCCGGAUGUUUUUAUAAAUAGUAAAAGAAAAAGAGAAUUCCAGAUAAAUGUAAUACCGUUAAUUAAAUUUUUUGGAUGGUCUCGUAUAAAAAUUAGAUGUACCACAGCCUUGUGGAGAGAUUUUCAUACCUUACUUUAGUGUUUUUGGAUGUUGUUUUCCUUAAAAUCGGAACAUAAUAUUAAAGAUAAUUAGAUUUUUUUAUGGUUUAGGUAGAAAAUUAAUUGUACUGUAAGAGAGAAGUGAGUUAAAAUAUUUGUCAUAAAAAUUCGGAACAACUUUUUUUCGUAAAUGAGAAGAUUGUUUGUUUAUUAAUUAGAAGAGGGAGUUCAAACAGUUAUUUGUUAUUAGAUUUUUAAAUAAAUUAGGAAAUUUUGGCGACGAUUUGUAAGAAAAUGCAAGUAAUGUAAGUCGAUUUCUUUUCAAAACAAAAUCCGGAACAUUCUUUAUAGAUUAAAAAACUUUUAUGUUAUGUUUCAGCAAGAAAAUUAAAUGUCUAAAAAUGUGAUUUUCAGUAAUCAAUUCUAGUAAAUUACUUUUUUUUAAAGCCCUGAACAACCUAUUGUCGACAUUUUAAAAAUUUGUUUAAAGAUGAAAAUACGGAACAAUUUGAUAUCGAUAAUCAAAUUAUAGUGACGCAUUGUCAAAUAAUAUAAGUGUACUAUUAGUCAAUUAUGCGAUUUCAAACAAUCAUUAGACAUAAUUCAUUUUUUAUAAAACAAUAUCCGGAACAUUUUUACACUUAAUGAAAUAUAAGUCAGUAUAGAGAUUUUGAUUUAGCAUUAAUAUGCUAUUUACAUAAAAAACGGAACAACAUAUUAUUGAUAAUGUGUUUUGCAACGUUAAAGUGUGGGAAUUGAAUGUAAUAUAGAUUAGAAUAGCAAACAAACAAAAAAGUCCAUUUUAAAAAAUGUGCGUGAUAUUUACAUACAAAGUGCAUUCUUAGCCUUUAUAAACAAACAUAAAUGUUUUCUUUUAAUUUUAGCAGCUAGAUGACCAGAAAAAACACCUUUUAUUAAUGCUUAUAUUUGUUGUAAACAUUUCUAGUACAUUUUAUAAAAAUAUUUGACUUAAUAAUACUGACAAUACACAUUAACUGUACAUCCUUGUUAGCAUAUUGUAACAUUGCCUCCCUUACAUUUACGUUAUUGUUUUAGAAUUGGUGUAUUUUUAUGAAAAAAUUGCUUGUUUAAAAAAUUAAACGGUUUGCUUUUAGAAAACCAAAAGUAGCCUUUACACCUAAACUUUUCAAGCCGCAUUUAACGGUGAAAUAAUAUUUUUCAUAUUUUUUCUAGUUUUGAGAUCUGAGUGUGACAGACGGACAUUUUGCACAAACCUAAUAGCGGCUUUUUCCCCUUACGGGGGCCGCUAAAAAAAAAGCUACAUUAAAUCCGAUGUUUGCGUGUUCUAUCAGUUAUUUCAGUGUGAAAGUGAAUAGAAAAUAUUUGAAAUGCUAGUAAGAACAGUUGGGGUAAGACAAGGUUGCCUACUUUCACUAACACUCUUCAAUAUCUUCCUUGAAAGGAUAAUGGAAGAUGCUCUCGAGGGCUUUUAAGGUACUGUUAGCAUUGGAGGAAGAAGAAUCACUAACUUUCGCUUUGCAGAUGACAUUGAUGGCCUAGCAGGGACAGAAGAAGAACUAGCUGACCUGGUGAUGCGCAUUGACAAGACUUCUGCAGCAUAUAGGAUGCAAAUAAAUGCAGAAAAAAAACGAAAAUUAUGACCAAUUGCCAACAGGGUUUUUAAAGAAGCAUCAGUAUUGGCGGGGGAAAAGCUAACUAGCUUUAGCAGCUUCAAAUACCUCGGAGCUAGUGUCUUAGAUGAGGGAACAAAACCCGAACUAUUGGCCCGAAUAACACAGUCCACAGCAGCGCUUUCAAAACUUAAAAUAAUAUGGAAAGACAAAGGCUUGGCCCUCGGCACCAAAAUCAGACUGAUGCGCUCCCUGGUCAUGGCCACAUUUUUAUAUGCGUAUGAGUCUUGGACGCUGACUGCAGAGCUAGAGAGGAGGAUCCUAGCAAUGAAAUUGAGAUGCUACAGAAGGAUCCUAGGCAUCACAUUCAAAGACCGCACACAAACCAAGAGAUUAGAGACAGGGUUACUGCAGCGAUCGGACCCCUUGAUGACCUGCUAACUACUGUGAAAAAACGCAAGCUUUAAAUCUACGUCCAUAUUACAAGAUCUUCGGGGCUCGCAAAGACCUUCCUUCAGGGAACAGUACCAGGAAAAAGAAGAAGAGGCAGAAAGAGAAAGCGAUGGUAGGUCAACAUGAAAGAAUGGACGGGCCUGCCAUUGAAAGAGAUUCUAAACAGGGCAAAGGACAGAGAGGAAUGGAGAAAGACGGUCGACUAGUCCAACAGACUAAGGGAUAGGUAAAGGUAAAGGUAAGUGAGAGAAUGCAUUUAGGACAUUGUGUAAAGAAGUAUAUUUAAGAGAGUGUUACAAUGGAAGUAGUUCUGUGUGCAUGUAUAAUAUAUUGCGUAUAUUGUUUUCGGUCAAAGCAAUAUAAGAUCAAAGUAGUUACAUGUAACUAUUUACGGGUAUCAGUGAAUGUGAAUAAAUGUAAGUAUAAUAUAUAUUUGUUAAAAGUAAAUUAACUAAGGUACACUUUUCAGACGUUACGAUCUAUAAAGCAGAGUAUUAAAAUGACUGUUUCAAGAGCCGAUUUCAUUUAGCACAACCUCUUUAGAGCUCAUUAAUUUCUUUUUACUUUUACUUUGACAAAGAAAAAUUAAAACGUGACUUUGCGACUAACUUACCUUCUGACACAAAGGGUGAUUUUACUAAAAUUAUAAUGUGUAUGUCAUUUAACAUAGAAAAAAGUUAUUGGUUUUGUACUUUGCACCAUUCUUCUUUUAUGAUGUUCACGUUUUGCAAAAGCGAUCACUUUUCUGACUUUUCUCUAACUAAUAAACUAGAGAUCAGUGUUCACCUUUAACCCAUGAAGAAAUUUGCAGCUUAUUGUAGCAUUUGUUACAGAGAAAUCGUUCAGUUUUUGGUGCACACAUAAAAUGAUUUAUUGAAUUCAGUAUCUCUUUAAAAUAUGUAGGUCACAGCUGGGGCUGCGCAUCCACGGGAAAUACUGUAUUCCUCACUAAUCUUCGGACUCGAAGACAAGCCUUAUAUAUAUAUAUAUAUCUUUAACAAAAACAAGAAAAAAAAACGAUGAAUGUCAUCCAAAACGUAUCGCAAACCUUGCCUCUAAUUUAUGCGGGUGGAAUGAGCAUGUCCGAAUUAUGGUUUCGGGAAUCUGAUCUUUCAUAGUUUUUAAGUUUGACAUGUUUCGGGUGUUUCCCUCAGAAAGCAGAUUCUUACAUCCAAGCCUAAAUUCCUACAGGAUGACGGGGUACUGUGAAGCCAAAAACAUCGUGUGGUCCACGACAAUUCGUUCACACGACUAUUUGUUUAUACGACUAUUCCUUCACACAACUAUUGGUUCAAAGACAACUUGUUCACCGACAAAUGGUUUUACCGACAAAUCGUUCACUGGAUAGUAACAUUGUUAAUAUUAUAAUUUCAUCGAGUGUUUAAUUUUAUUACAUUAAAAGUACUUACAGGGGAGGGAUACAUUAUCUUUGUAACUUUUGUUGCAAUCAUUUCCAUUCCAAAUGAUUUUACUUUAUAAUGACAUCUAUUUAAGUAUUUAUUAUUAAAAAAUUAAUAGUUUGUUAAACACAUCUGCCAAGUUUUAAAUUUGCUUUGAAAAUCUAUUACAGAAAUUGCUGAUAAAGUAAUCUGUCAGUCCAAAGACUUGUGUAAUGUUGACAAUUCUCACGUAGUUGGUCACCACGAACUAGAGAUCUCUGAAGGUGGAGAAGCUGAUCUACACAAACAUAUGUCUGAAUGUAAGAAGAAUCCAGAUCAUC